UCAGACGAUGCGUCAUGCAUAUCAAUAAGCGGAGGAAAAGAAACUAACAAGGAUUCCCCUAGGUAACGGCGAGUGAAGCGGGAAGAGCUCAAAUUUGAAAUCUUAAAGGGUUUCCCUUUACGAAUUGUAGUUUAAAGAAGUGUUUUUUUUCUGUUGAGGUUUUGGUAAAAGUUCUUUGGAAUAGGACAUCAUAGAGGGUGAGAAUCCCGUAUUUGACCUUUACUUUCAACUUUGUGAUACACUUUCAAAGAGUCGGAUUGUUUGGGAAUGCAGUCCAAAAUGGGUGGUAAAUUUCAUCUAAAGCUAAAUAUUGGCGAGAGACCGAUAGCGAACAAGUACCGUGAGGGAAAGAUGAAAAGAACUUUGAAAAGAGAGUUAAACAGUACGUGAAAUUGUCAAAAGGGAAGCGUUUGACACCAGUGUUGUUUUUCUGAAAAUCAAUUAAAGAACUGUUUAUGCUAAGUUGUUUAGACUUUAUCAGCUAACUGUUUAGUUUUGAGCUUUUCUUUAAUGCACUUUUCAGUUAACAAGUCAACAUCAAUUUCUUUUGCUGUAAAAAAGCUUGAGGAAGGUGGCUUGAGAUUCGUCUUAAGUGUUUAUAGCCUCUUGCCUAUGCAGUCGGAGAGAUUGAGGUCUGCAGCGUAGAUCCUUCGGGGCUAAAUGCAUUUGUGCUAAGUUAUAGCAUUUUAUAGACAACUUGUUGACUAUGAUUUGUCUUGUAGCUUACUCGCUUAUGUUAUUUUACCUACGCUUAGGAUGUUGACACACGCGCGUGCUCG
Molecule: ribosomal RNA, 779 nt
Filed under: uncultured Neocallimastigales
Lineage: Eukaryota; Fungi; Neocallimastigomycota; Neocallimastigomycetes; Neocallimastigales
Description: partial large subunit ribosomal RNA
Rfam family: Eukaryotic large subunit ribosomal RNA
Source: RNAcentral